UGCUGUAUGCAUCGACACCAAAUCAUAAACAUAUAAGGUAACAUAAGUUAAGUUUCAGUAAACAUUAAGAGAUGAGACUGUCAUGUAUAUCGUUGGCUCUUGCUACAAUUUUUAUUUUGACGAUCGUGUUUACAACCGAAAUUUGGGCUAAGGCUCAGGAAAUGGAUGAAAUAGAUACCUGUUGGUGCUGUCCUUAGCUCGUAUAUAGUGGCUCAUGGUCGCCUACUUCCUAAAUUAUAGAAAGAUGGCAUUUCUCAUCACUGAAAAAGAGUAGCUGCGUCUUCCAUCACGUGAUGAACCUGGAAUGAAAUUUUUAGCAAAGACCUGGCAAAAAAUUGGAAUUAUAAUGUAAUAUGUAUAAAAAAUGAAGCAUAUAAGCAAUACAAUACGUCAUAUUGUAUAUUUUUGAAAAAAAAGUGUUAAUUAUAUUUGUAUGUAUCUAUUAUAUUUGUUUGUUUUUAAAUGACUUAACAGAAAAUAAACAACAAGAGUGCAUAAUCAGUA
Wasmannia auropunctata (little fire ant) is the source of this 504-nucleotide long non-coding RNA. RefSeq lists it as uncharacterized. The record is from RefSeq and is a predicted model, not a curated record. The transcript has 3 exons. NCBI's taxonomy places the organism in Eukaryota, Metazoa, Arthropoda, Insecta, Hymenoptera, Formicidae.